RNAcentral lists this ribosomal RNA (479 nucleotides) under Acinetobacter schindleri. RNAcentral describes it as "bacterial SSU rRNA". It matches the Rfam family "Bacterial small subunit ribosomal RNA", at positions 88 to 562 of the family's 1533-position model. The record is from RNAcentral. Lineage: Bacteria; Pseudomonadati; Pseudomonadota; Gammaproteobacteria; Moraxellales; Moraxellaceae.
UGACCUAGCGGCGGACGGGUGAGUAAUGCUUAGGAAUCUGCCUAUUAGUGGGGGACAACAUUCCGAAAGGAAUGCUAAUACCGCAUACGCCCUACGGGGGAAAGCAGGGGAUCUUCGGACCUUGCGCUAAUAGAUGAGCCUAAGUCGGAUUAGCUAGUUGGUGGGGUAAAGGCCUACCAAGGCGACGAUCUGUAGCGGGUCUGAGAGGAUGAUCCGCCACACUGGGACUGAGACACGGCCCACACUCCUACGGGAGGCAGCAGUGGGGAAUAUUGGACAAUGGGCGGAAGCCUGAUCCAGCCAUGCCGCGUGUGUGAAGAAGGCCUUUUGGUUGUAAAGCACUUUAAGCGAGGAGGAGGCUCCUUUAGUUAAUACCUAAAGUGAGUGGACGUUACUCGCAAAAUAAGCACCGGCUAACUCUGUGCCAGCAGCCGCGGUAAUACAGAGGGUGCGAGCGUUAAUCGGAUUUACUGGGCGUA